AACGAACGCUGGCGGCAGGCCUAACACAUGCAAGUCGAGCGCCCCGCAAGGGGAGCGGCGGACGGGUGAGUAACGCGUGGGAACGUACCCUUUGCUACGGAAUAGCCUCGGGAAACUGGGAGUAAUACCGUAUGUGCCCUUCGGGGAAAGAUUUAUCGGCAAAGGAUCGGCCCGCGUUGGAUUAGGUAGUUGGUGGGGUAAUGGCCCACCAAGCCGACGAUCCAUAGCUGGUUUGAGAGGAUGAUCAGCCACACUGGGACUGAGACACGGCCCAGACUCCUACGGGAGGCAGCAGUGGGGAAUCUUAGACAAUGGGCGCAAGCCUGAUCUAGCCAUGCCGCGUGAGCGAUGAAGGCCUUAGGGUUGUAAAGCUCUUUCAGUGGGGAAGAUAAUGACUGUACCCACAGAAGAAGCCCCGGCUAACUCCGUG
RNAcentral lists this ribosomal RNA (430 nucleotides) under uncultured bacterium. RNAcentral describes it as "bacterial SSU rRNA". It matches the Rfam family "Bacterial small subunit ribosomal RNA", at positions 29 to 507 of the family's 1533-position model. The record is from RNAcentral.